UGCCUAAUUGAGCUGACCAGGACUUUCAAUAAUAUGUUGAAUAGGAGCGGCAAGAGAAAGAAGGCAUACUUGUCUUGCGCCAGUUUUCAAAGGGAAUGUUUCCAGGUUUUGCCCAGUCAGUAUGAUAUUGGCUGGGGGUUUGUCAUAAAUAGCUCUUAUUAUUCUGAGAUACGUU
Long non-coding RNA from Cebus imitator (Panamanian white-faced capuchin), 175 nucleotides. RefSeq lists it as uncharacterized. The record is from RefSeq and is a predicted model, not a curated record. The transcript is spliced from 3 exons. Lineage: Eukaryota; Metazoa; Chordata; Mammalia; Primates; Cebidae.